AUUAACGCUAGCGGCAGGCAUAAUACAUGCAAGUUGAACGGCAGCACAGGUAGCAAUACUGGGUGGCGAGUGGCGCACGGGUGCGUAACACGUAUGCAACCUACCCUAUACAGGCGAAUAACCUUUAGAAAUGGGGGCUAAUACGCCGUAGUAUUACAGAUGGGCAUCUAUUUGUAAUUAAAGAUUUAUCGGUAUAGGAUGGGCAUGCGUCCCAUUAGUUAGUUGGUAAGGUAACGGCUUACCAAGACGAUGAUGGGUAGGGG
Molecule: ribosomal RNA, 263 nt
Filed under: uncultured bacterium
Lineage: Bacteria
Description: partial 16S ribosomal RNA
Rfam family: Bacterial small subunit ribosomal RNA
Source: RNAcentral